UUUUUUAAUUUAAUUUUGGUUUUUAUUUGUUUAUGUAGAUGCUUUAUGUUUUUUGAUGUUUCUGCCGACAAUGCAAUUGGUUAGUUGUGCUCCGUUUCAAUUUGUUUGUUUUAGUUUGACUUGGCACACGGUUUAAGAAAAUAAAAGAAGAAUUUUGAAUCUUGUGAUCUUAAAUUAAAGACUUGUCACCUAGGAUGUUUUAGGGUAAGGAGUUACUAAAUAUAGAAAGUGACAUUUUUUUGAAACAAAUUAAAAAGGGAAGUAACACAACCAAGCGGAAACAGAGGGAAUAACAAUUUAAGUUUGAAUUUCCUAUUUUAGUUUAUAGCCACACAAAUGUCUAUCUAGACCACAAGGUUCAUAAGUCGUCCUUUCAUUCUUAAAGUCCAUGCCCAUACCAUUUUCACAAUGCAAUGUUCUCUAUGCACAUAUCUGACAACAUCUCAGUAUUUCACAUGCUGGUUUUGUAAAUUUGGUAACCAUUGUUGAGUUCUUUUAGCUGAAUUUUCAAAUUGGUAGUUGGGGUUCUCUUAAUGAGUAUUAAAACACAUCACAUGUGUAUCUGCUUACUGUAAGUCACAAGAGGAGUCUGGUGACUCUGCAAAUUCUGUGACAAGUCAAAGAAUUAAUUCACAUGUGUGCCAAACUCAUAGAAGAAGAAAGCAAGAGUGGUAAUAGAAGCAUGUACACUUCUAUACUACUUAAAGAUGACUUUUUUAUGUUAAAGAAAAAGGACAAAAGGCUCCUUUAAUACGCAGAUUGAACUAAAUCUGCUUCCCUGGGAAAAUAUGGUUGUUUGUAUUGUUUUUCCUCGGAAAAAUAUUGCUUUUUCUUAAUUGAGUGUGUGGUGAAAGAUUAGAUUAUUAGAUCAAUUGCCG
This is a long non-coding RNA of Lycium barbarum (goji berry), 878 nucleotides long. RefSeq lists it as uncharacterized. The transcript is spliced from 2 exons. NCBI's taxonomy places the organism in Eukaryota, Viridiplantae, Streptophyta, Magnoliopsida, Solanales, Solanaceae. The record is from RefSeq and is a predicted model, not a curated record.